Dunckerocampus dactyliophorus (ringed pipefish) is the source of this 377-nucleotide long non-coding RNA. RefSeq lists it as uncharacterized. The record is from RefSeq and is a predicted model, not a curated record. Lineage: Eukaryota; Metazoa; Chordata; Actinopteri; Syngnathiformes; Syngnathidae. The transcript is spliced from 3 exons.
CACUUCUCGACAAGCUUUUGCAUUCGUGGUGAACUUCUUUUAUUAAUUCGGAUUGGACUCACAUUUUGCCUUAAGAUGCCUGCAUGUGCAGCUAUUAACUGCACAAAUCGCCAGUUCAAAGGCUGUGGACGAACAUUUCACCUCUGGCUGUCCUGUUUUACAACCAGGGAGAUGAGUUCAUCCUUGGUGAGCAUGGAGUACGGCCCCUUUGCACCACUUUCUUUUGCCUGAAAAAACAAAAUAAAUACAUGCAGUACAUCUUUUAGUCCAUUUUAAAAAAGUGGCUGAGACAGGAUGCUGUUCCUGAGUAGUGAGGGGUUUCAUGGGAUGAAGUCUGCAAAAAACCCAAGAGCACAGAGAUUAAUGAAACAUUUCUA